RNAcentral lists this ribosomal RNA (492 nucleotides) under uncultured bacterium. Its description in RNAcentral is "partial 16S ribosomal RNA". It matches the Rfam family "Bacterial small subunit ribosomal RNA", at positions 29 to 507 of the family's 1533-position model. The record is from RNAcentral.
AGUGAACGCUGGCGGUAGGCCUAACACAUGCAAGUCGAACGGCAGCACAGUAAGAGCUUGCUCUUACGGGUGGCGAGUGGCGGACGGGUGAGGAAUACGUCGGAAUCUACUUUUUCGUGGGGGAUAACGUAGGGAAACUUACGCUAAUACCGCAUACGACCUACGGGUGAAAGCAGGGGAUCUUCGGACCUUGCGCGAUUGAAUGAGCCGAUGUCGGAUUAGCUAGUUGGCGGGGUAAAGGCCCACCAAGGCGACGAUCCGUAGCUGGUCUGAGAGGCUGAUCAGCCACACUGGAACUGAGCCACGGUCCAGACUCCUACGGGAGGCAGCAGUGGGGAAUAUUGGACAAUGGGCGCAAGCCUGAUCCAGCCAUACCGCGUGGGUGAAGAAGGCCUUCGGGUUGUAAAGCCCUUUUGUUGGGAAAGAAAAGCAGCAGGUUAAUACCCCGCUGUUCUGACGGUACCCAAAGAAUAAGCACCGGCUAACUUCGUG